RNAcentral lists this ribosomal RNA (500 nucleotides) under uncultured bacterium. Its description in RNAcentral is "bacterial SSU rRNA". It matches the Rfam family "Bacterial small subunit ribosomal RNA", at positions 24 to 518 of the family's 1533-position model. The record is from RNAcentral.
UCAGGAUGAACGCUGGCGGCGUGCCUAAUACAUGCAAGUCGAACGAGGUAGCAAUACCGAGUGGCGAACGGGUGAGUAACACGUAGGUAACCUGCCUUACAGUUUGGGAUACCCGAGGGAAACCUUGGCUAAUACCGAAUAAUUCUUUUGGAGGCAUCUCCAGAAGCUAAAAGGGGCCUUUAAAGCCUCGCUGAAAGAUGGACCUGCGGCGCAUUAGCUAGUUGGUGAGAUAACAGCCCACCAAGGCGAGGAUGCGUAGCCGACCUAAGAGGGUGAACGGCCACACUGGAACUGAGACACGGUCCAGACUCCUACGGGAGGCAGCAGUAGGGAGUUUUCGGCAAUGGGGGAAACCCUGACCGAGCAACGCCGCGUGAAACCGAUGAAGGUCUUCGGAUUGUAAAGUUCUGUUAUAAGGGAAGAAUGAUAACUUGAGGAAAUGCUAGUUAUUUGACGGUACCUUAUUAGAAAGCCACGGCUAACUACGUGCCAGCCGCAGC